CCUACGGGCGGCAGCAGUGGGGGAUAUUGCACAAUGGGGGAAACCCUGAUGCAGCGACGCCGCGUGUGGGAAGACGGUCCUCUGGAUUGUAAACCACUGUCCCCAGGGACGAAGAUGACGGUACCUGGGGAGGAAGCUCCGGCUAACUACGUGCCAGCAGCCGCGGUAAUACGUAGGGAGCGAGCGUUGUCCGGAAUUACUGGGUGUAAGGGGAGCGUAGGCGGGACUGCAAGUUGGGUGUCAAAUCUACCGGCUCAACCGGUAGCCGCACUCAAAACUGCAGUUCUUGAGUGAAGUAGAGGCAGGCGGAAUUCCUAGUGUAGCGGUGAAAUGCGUAGAUAUUAGGAGGAACACCAGUGGCGAAGGCGGCCUGCUGGGCUUUUACUGACGCUGAGGCUCGAAAGUGUGGGGAGCAAACAGGAUUAGAUACCCCGGUAGUC
RNAcentral lists this ribosomal RNA (440 nucleotides) under uncultured bacterium. RNAcentral describes it as "partial 16S ribosomal RNA". It matches the Rfam family "Bacterial small subunit ribosomal RNA", at positions 338 to 795 of the family's 1533-position model. The record is from RNAcentral.